RNAcentral lists this transfer RNA (78 nucleotides) under Rickettsiales bacterium. Its description in RNAcentral is "tRNA-Glu". It matches the Rfam family "tRNA". Rfam says of the family: Transfer RNA (tRNA) molecules are approximately 80 nucleotides in length. Their secondary structure includes four short double-helical elements and three loops (D, anti-codon, and T loops). Further hydrogen bonds mediate the characteristic L-shaped molecular structure. tRNAs have two regions of fundamental functional importance: the anti-codon, which is responsible for specific mRNA codon recognition, and the 3' end, to which the tRNAs corresponding amino acid is attached (by aminoacyl-tRNA synthetases). tRNAs cope with the degeneracy of the genetic code in two manners: having more than one tRNA (with a specific anti-codon) for a particular amino acid; and 'wobble' base-pairing, i.e. permitting non-standard base-pairing at the 3rd anti-codon position. The record is from RNAcentral. Lineage: Bacteria; Pseudomonadati; Pseudomonadota; Alphaproteobacteria; Rickettsiales.
GUCCCCUUCGUCUAGCUCGGUCUAGGACAGUUCCCUUUCACGGAACAAACACGGGUUCGAAUCCCGUAGGGGACACCA